AAGCAGUGGGAGCACAGGUUUACCUGUGUGACUGCGUACCUUUUGUAUAAUGGGUCAGCGACUUAUAUUCUGUAGCAAGGUUAACCGUAUAGGGGAGCCGUAGGGAAACCGAGUCUUAACCGGGCGUUAAGUUGCAGGGUAUAGACCCGAAACCCGGUGAUCUAGCCAUGGGCAGGUUGAAGGUUGGGUAACACUAACUGGAGGACCGAACCGACUAAUGUUGAAAAAUUAGCGGAUGACCUGUGGCUGGGGGUGAAAGGCCAAUCAAACCGGGAGAUAGCUGGUUCUCCCCGAAAGCUAUUUAGGUAGCGCCUCGUGAAUUCAUCUCCGGGGGUAGAGCACUGUUUCGGCUAGGGGGCCAUCCCGGCUUACCAACCCGAUGCAAACUGCGAAUACCGGAGAAUGUUAUCACGGGAGACACACGGCGGGUGCUAACGUCCGUCGUGAAGAGGGAAACAACCCAGACCGCCAGCUAAGGUCCCAAAGUCAUGGUUAAGUGGGAAACGAUGUGGGAAGGCCCAGACAGCCAGGAUGUUGGCUUAGAAGCAGCCAUCAUUUAAAGAAAGCGUAAUAGCUCACUGGUCGAGUCGGCCUGCGCGGAAGAUGUAACGGGGCUAAACCAUGCACCGAAGCUGCGGCAGCGAACGUAUCACCCAAGACAACUUUACGGAGUUGACGAUUGACGGAGCGAAGCGACGUCAAAGCGUUCAUUAAAGUCGAGUUGGCUUAGGGAUACGUUCGUUGGGUAGGGGAGCGUUCUGUAAGCCUGUGAAGGUGUGUCGUGAGGCAUGCUGGAGGUAUCAGAAGUGCGAAUGCUGACAUAAGUAACGAUAAAGCGGGUGAAAAGCCCGCUCGCCGGAAGACCAAGGGUUCCUGUCCAACGUUAAUCGGGGCAGGGUGAGUCGACCCCUAAGGCGAGGCCGAAAGGCGUAGUCGAUGGGAAACGGGUUAAUAUUCCCGUACUUGGUGUUACUGCGAAGGGGGGACGGAGAAGGCUAUGUUGGCCGGGCGACGGUUGUCCCGGUUUAAGCGUGUAGGUGUGUGUUCCAGGUAAAUCCGGUU
This 1062-nucleotide ribosomal RNA is filed under the name Salmonella enterica subsp. enterica serovar Typhimurium. Its description in RNAcentral is "partial 23S ribosomal RNA". It matches the Rfam family "Bacterial large subunit ribosomal RNA", at positions 568 to 1547 of the family's 2925-position model. The record is from RNAcentral. Lineage: Bacteria; Pseudomonadati; Pseudomonadota; Gammaproteobacteria; Enterobacterales; Enterobacteriaceae.